CGCAGACCCGGCGGCGUCCGCCCUCCUCUUGCCGCCGCGCCCGCCCCUUCCCCCUCCCCCCGCGGGCCCUGCGUGGUCACGCGUCGGGUGGCGGGGGGGAGAGGGGGGCGCGCCCGGCUGAGAGAGACGGGGAGGGCGGCGCCGCCGCCGCCCGCGAAGACGGAGAGGGAAAGAGAGAGCCGGCUCGGGCCGAGUUCCCGUGGCCGCCGCCUGCGGUCCGGGUUCCUCCCUCGGGGGGCUCCCUCGCGCCGCGCGCGGCUCGGGGUUCGGGGUUCGUCGGCCCCGGCCGGGUGGAAGGUCCCGUGCCCGUCGUCGUCGUCGUCGUCGCGCGUCGUCGGCGGUGGGGGCGUGUUGCGUGCGGUGUGGUGGUGGGGGAGGAGGAAGGCGGGUCCGGAAGGGGAAGGGUGCCGGCGGGGAGAGAGGGUCGGGGGAGCGCGUCCCGGUCGCCGCGGUUCGCCGCCCGCCCCCGGUGGCGGCCCGGCGUCCGGCCGACCGCCGCUCCCGCGCCCCUCCUCCUCCCCGCCGCCCCCCCCUCGCGGCCCUCCCCCGCCCCACCCCGCGCGCGCCGCUCGCUCCCUCCCCGCCCCGCGCCCUCUCUCUCUCUCUCUCCCCCGCUCCCCGUCCUCCCCCCUCCCCGGGGGAGCGCCGCGUGGGGGCGGCGGCGGGGGGAGAAGGGUCGGGGCGGCAGGGGCCGCCCCCCCCCUCCACGCGCCCCGCGCGCGCGGGAGGGCGCGUGCCCCGCCGCGCGCCGGGACCGGGGUCCGGUGCGGAGUGCCCUUCGUCCUGGGAAACGGG
Molecule: long non-coding RNA, 795 nt
Filed under: Homo sapiens (human)
Lineage: Eukaryota; Metazoa; Chordata; Mammalia; Primates; Hominidae
Description: LNC_000005
Source: RNAcentral